RNAcentral lists this ribosomal RNA (379 nucleotides) under uncultured bacterium. Its description in RNAcentral is "bacterial SSU rRNA". It matches the Rfam family "Bacterial small subunit ribosomal RNA", at positions 971 to 1425 of the family's 1533-position model. The record is from RNAcentral.
UUACCACNUUGACAUCGAAGAGAUUAAUUCGUUGACAGGUGCUGCAUGGCUGUCGUCAGCUCGUGUCGUGAGAUGUUGGGUUAAGUCCCGCAACGAGCGCAACCCCGCCUUAGUUGCCAGCAUAUGGGACUCUAGGGGACUGCCGGUGCUAACCGGAGGAAGGUGGGGAUGACGUCAAGUCCUCAUGGCCCUUACGGUGGGCUACACACGUGCUACAAUGGCUGACAAGGGAAUCCCUAAAGGGUCUCAGUUCGGAUUGUCUUCUGCAACUCGAAGACAUGAAGUUGGAAUCGCUAGUAAUCGUGAUCAGCAUGCACGGUGAAUACGUUCCCGGGCCUUGUACACACCGCCCGUCACACCAUGGGAGUUGGUCACCGAA